AUCUCAUGGGAGAAGCUCUUCUCAAUGAUUUUCAGUUGAAUUUUUACAGGCCCAUGAGGUUAGGAUAGUUAAACAAACUUUGGAUAAAUGCCGCUGGCUUUUUAUUCAUUUAUGAACUAACCCUUCAAUUCUUUUGAGGUUCAACCAUCAGCACUUUCUACAGAGCCUGAAAACAAAAUGUUUCAAUAUGAUUGGAAUACACAGUGUUCAGAAAAUGUCAUAAAAUGGGAAAUAAAACCCCAGCAUUUUAUUUAAUAGAAUUAUUCAAAGGCUUCUUUAUAAAUUUUGUUUACACAGAAAUUCAUUUAGGUCAAGUUGAGUAAAUCAGCAAAUUAGAUACGCUGGUCCCUGACUUAAUCCCUCCGUGUUUUAGAAUUCUAAACUUUCUGCCCAAUUGGCUGGGUCUGCCUGUGGAUUUCAAAUAUCUCACCAUGAAGAACAGCCAGAAGAAAACUGUAAAUUUGAUCCUCCAAGAGAGGGAAAGAGUGGAAGGUUUGCACGACUAUGGAUCCAACAAAGCUUCUGGAACGAAAUGUGGCCUUAUGAAUAACUUCGAGAUUGUCUUCCCAAACUCUCCCCCACACACACUUUCUUUCUGCUUCAAGGAGAGGACAGCUGGAGCCAGACAAACUCAGAGACAUUACAUCAGGGAUAAAGAAUUAUUAAAGAAAUGGAGGAGGAGAGAAAAGUCGAGAGGAAACCUCAAUAUAGCAUCUUUAAGUGUUUUGUCUGCUUAAAAAAAGCAAAGCACCAGAACAUAGAACCGUCUCUGGACUACCGUCACCUGCCAUCACCUCCACAUUGUAGCAUUAACCAGCAGAGGACAACUGUGCCAUCUUCUCUUCCAGAGACCAGGUGACAAGAUGCAAAGGCAUGAGGGAGCUGGCACUAAAAAGGGAAGGAGUACGACCCACUCAUGAGAAACUCUGAUGGAAUCCAAAAGUCAGAACUUCAAGACACACAAGCUCUUGCUGAUGCAAACACAAGAGCAUGGAGAGAGUCUCUGGUGGUUCACCUCUGUUCUCACGGCUUGUCUCUGAUUUCACCGGAACAGACCCUGGCUGUCCUAUAGCAGAGGACAAGAGCAGGGAAGCCUGCACACCAGCAGAGUGUGUUUUCAGAAUUACAGUCAGCAUGUCCUUUUGAAAAUGUACACACAGAAUGGGUGACAGUGUAUGGCUACUCCCAUCACAGUGUCACAGCAAGGCCCUGGGAUGAGGGGCUGGCUGUCUGCAGUGAGCAUGGCCCAGGAGGAAGGUCUGAAGGGACCACUGACUUGAUGGAGCCAUCCACCCUGAGAUUUUGCCAUCUGCCUGCAAAGACACAGCUCUCUUCUCUUCCUUGGCAGAGGAAAGUGUCACCUGCCCGUGGCUGUGGAGGGUUCCAGACUCGACCUGCCUUGUGAGGCCUCCAGGCUUCCUGGUGGGUUUCCUCCCAGGCAAAGUGACCGAUGGCUUCUCAAGAACUCAGGGCUAGGACUCGAUGCCCAGCACCUGAUCUGUGCCCCCAAGGACCAAGCUUCGUGCUCCCACCUGCCCCCGCCCCCAACCCUCCCAAGCGGAAUGUGGAUCCCAGUGGGAGAAGGCCCGUGGGAAGUCUUCUCUCCAGGCUGUGAGCAGGACCACUGAAUGGACUGAUAACCAGGCUACUGUACCAGGGCCAUGCCGGGCAGCACAGCCCACCUUGCUGCCACGGCCCACGGUAGAAAGAGCACUUCAGCAGCAGGACCAGGAGGGCUCCAGGUUACCAGUUCUUCAGCUGAGUAGUUCAACACCCACAGCGUCAAACUGAAGAGGACUCAGCCUCCUCCCAUCAAAUGCUUUCCACGGAUUGCCUUGGGUGCCAGGAUGUGGAUAUCUGUGAAAUACAAAUGGAGCUGUUGUUAUAUAAAAGACAAGCCCCAGGGGCAGGGGGAGAGCUUGUCUGCUCCGACCUAAACAAGUGUCCUAGCUAGCGAGUAGUACUGCAGAUAAAAAGAACCCGGCUAGUCCCUGCAGAGCCCCAUAGGGCUGCCAGGGUUAAGGCAAAGAAGCUCAGUGCAAUGAGGCUUCUCUGCAGAGCGGGAGCUCCCGGAGGCCAGAACACAGGAGAAGCCCCUCUGCCCCGCUCUUUCCUCAGAGGCUGCAGGGACACAGCAUCAUUGGAGGGACACACAGCCCAGUAAGAGAGACACAGUCCAGUCGGAACGACACGGCCCGAGUCGAAGGGCACAGUCCAGUUGGAGGGACGCCCUGCGCGGCCUACAGAGUAGACGCCCGGAAGAGCGCAGUGGGCAGUCCAGAGCGUGGAGACAUGCGUGUUACCCUGUUCAGCGCACCCUCAGUCGGCUCAGUCGUCCUCACCUGCUCUGGCACCCGUGCCUGGAGCCACUCCACUGCAUGAGGGCGGGUCCUGGACCAGCAGCAGGUGUGGCUCCAGUCUGAGGCUCGUCUUUUUGUCCCAUCAGAUAGUGGAAAAUUCUCUUUGGAUCAGUGGAUAGCGCUCAGGUGAAUGCAUCCCUAGCACAGUCCACUUGGCGCCUGCCUGAACAGGGUGCAAUUGGAAAGCCACCAUCCCCCAGUGCACAGCCAUGGCCGCAUCCAGCCUGAAUUUCUUUCUGAAGGCCUGAAGAGCCCUCCUGGACCCAUCAAGUGUCCUCAGAAGCUGCCUGAGGCUAUGGAGGGACCACAGAAAGGGGGAGCCACCUUUUGCAUCAGUGACCCCCAGGUGAGGCCUGGGAGGCCUGAGGCAGGUGUCUGCAGCAGAGGCCCUGGACACUGCAAGCUCCUUAGGGCCACGGGAAGGCCCCCAUUGAAGCCACAGGAGGUGUGGGUACCCUGGAGGUACCAGGAGGGCAGGCAGGGCUUGGCAUAGAGCUGCAGACCUGGGCCCCCAGGGGCACUGGGUGGAGUCCCGAAGAAGAAGGAGGAGGAGGGGGAAGCGGCUGUGCAGUGGCUGAGCAUGAGUGUCACCAAGAGAGAAGGAACCCACACCUUGAUCUGGGCCUGGGGAGGGACAAUGCCCCACUUGGCCACUUCACUCUAACCUCAAGGACAGCUCCCUUCCCUGCAGCAAAGAAGGCUCCUCCUACUCACUCAGACACCAUUCCAGAACAGUCCACUGAAUCCUCAUACAGCGUCCUGUGUGGCUUCAAUCCUCCAUUCUCACUGAGUAACCCUUUCUCUAACACUGAAAUGAUCAUUAAAAUAUUUAAUAUGUAAAGUGGAGAGACAUCCAGCGGAUCCCAGCAGCUCAGCCCACCGUGCUGCUUCCUGCCUCCCAAAGCCUCCUGAGGCCAUGCAAGGACACAGGCAACAUCCGCUGAACGCUUCCCACAGAGGGCACACCGACACCCUCUGGCUCGGCCUUCCCCUUCCCCGCAGGGCUAGGACAGUGCACACAGGCUGUGGCAGUGAGGAAUUGCCACGUCAUAGAGGACAACCUGGCUCCCUGGGAGAGAGCUGACUUCAGUUGCCCUUCACAGCACUUAGGGCCCGGCUGCUGGGGGCUAAUUAAGUCCCCAGGUGGUCUGAGGAGCACGUGCCCUGCCCUGAAGCUGGCCGAGCCCCAAGGGGUAGCUAGACCAACCCCAGCAGCCCACCAUCUUUCCCAGGUGUGCAGGGGCCCAGGUGACAGCCCCAGGGAAAAGAGAAAAUUGCAAAAUUGUUGCUGCUAAAUCAACUCCAUUAAAAAUGGCAAUUAUCCACGCUUCACUGUGGGCAACAACUCUCCAGGCCGAUUAAUGAGAAAACCUCCUCUACUCUUGGCCACUCCUCACCCAAGGAACUCUCAGCUGUUCCAGGGCUCACCACCAGUCAGAGGAGGACCCCAGGUGGAGGGUGAACUCCAGGGAUCCCCCAGAGAGGAGGCCUGCCUCGUGAAUAACAUGGGUUUAUAGACACCUGCAGGCAGAGCUUCCUUGCAGUUACCAUGGGGAUCAUUCUGGCUCUCAGAUUAGAGGUCAGUUCCUGUGGCCAGAGAAGCAGGUGCAGGAUGACCGAGGCACCAGUUCUGCAGUCAGAUAUUGGCUCCACCACCAGUCAGCUCUUUGACCUGGGGCUCAGUAUUUUUACCUGUAAAGUGGGGUAAUCACGGAGCUGACCUCAUGGGGCUGGCAGGGACCCUCCUUCACAGUGAGCGCACAAGAGACACUUGCUAUUUCUGCUUCUGGCAUCUUCACGGCGCGUAGCCCCUCUCUGUGCUCAGUGUACCCAGUAUGCCUGCUGCAAGCUGCCUGGGGUCAAAGCCUACCUCCAUUCAUUUGUUCCUGUCAUUUGUUUAGUUAACAAACGUUAACAGUGGCCAAAAACCACCUCUUCUUCCCUUGUGAAAUUUAUUGUCCAGUGUGAUAGCAUCGUAUUAAAAAAAAAUUUAAAGCUUGAACUUGUGGUUUUAGUUUGUUUUUGUUUAAUUAACCAAAUAAGUGGGAGCAUCUGAUGUUGGAUAGAAUGUGACAAAUGACUCACUUCCCCAUAGUACACAGCAUUGUAAAUUGGCCAAACCCUUCUGGAAUAUUCUAUGAUAAUAUCUAAAAUACUGAAAAUUGUUGUGUCCUUUGACCUAGGAAUUCCAACCUUGCAUGUUCAUCCUAAAAAAGUUAAAGAAAUCAUGCUGUUACACGCUUAUUCCUUGCAACAUUAUCUGCAAUAGCAAUAAAUUUGAAAAUCUUAAUGUCCAACAAAGGAUAGUAAAUCAAUACAUAGUGCUUAGCCUUUAAAUCUAUAGUUAUGGAGACUGGAUGAGCCAAAUACACCAGAAUGUAUUUAAAAAUGUACACAUUUAGGUUUAGGUUUCUUCUGAUUAGGAAAAAAUACUGGAUUGUAAAUGGAAACAUGAAAUCAGGUGUUUUAGUUUGGGCGCUUUGUUUUCCCCCUUAACAUUUCCUCUGAUGAUACUGAUAAGACGACAUAAGCAGUG
Papio anubis (olive baboon) is the source of this 4896-nucleotide long non-coding RNA. Lineage: Eukaryota; Metazoa; Chordata; Mammalia; Primates; Cercopithecidae. The record is from Ensembl.